Molecule: ribosomal RNA, 465 nt
Filed under: uncultured bacterium
Lineage: Bacteria
Description: partial 16S ribosomal RNA
Rfam family: Bacterial small subunit ribosomal RNA
Source: RNAcentral
GACGAACGCUGGCGGCGUGCUUAACACAUGCAAGUCGAACGAAAAGGCCCUGCUUGCAGGGUACUCGAGUGGCGAACGGGUGAGUAACACGUGGGUGAUCUGCCCUGCACUUCGGGAUAAGCCUGGGAAACUGGGUCUAAUACCGGAUAGGAGCCAUUUUUAGUGUGAUGGUUGGAAAGUUUUUUCGGUGUAGGAUGAGCUCGCGGCCUAUCAGCUUGUUGGUGGGGUAAUGGCCUACCAAGGCGGCGACGGGUAGCCGGCCUGAGAGGGUGGACGGCCACCUUGGGACUGAGGUACGGCCCAGACUCCUACGGGAGGCAGCAGUGGGGAAUCUUGCACAAUGGGCGCAAGCCUGAUGCAGCGACGCCGCGUGGGGGAUGACGGCCUUCGGGUUGUAAACUCCUUUCGCUAGGGACGAAGCUUUUUGUGACGGUACCUAGAUAAGAAGCACCGGCUAACUACGUG